This is a long non-coding RNA of Coregonus clupeaformis (lake whitefish), 498 nucleotides long. RefSeq lists it as uncharacterized. The transcript has 4 exons. The record is from RefSeq and is a predicted model, not a curated record. NCBI's taxonomy places the organism in Eukaryota, Metazoa, Chordata, Actinopteri, Salmoniformes, Salmonidae.
GACGUCUCGACAGCCGGACAGUGCUAUGCAAAAACAACCAUGCCCAUCAUACAAAUAUAGGCCUAAAGAAAGAAAACACGUCCAGAUAAACGUAGGAUUGAUGGUGCCAAGUGGAACUGAUUUAAAACCUCUAAGAGGGAAAACACUACCGUUAUUUACAGACCCAGAGGUAGCAGCACCUGAUCUACUGAAACAAGCUGUCCAGAAAAUAACAACAUUUAACAAGGACAUGCACGAAGGACCUUAUGUCCUUUUGUAUCCAGACUGCUCAGAGGUGGUUCAUGUGCCUGGGUCAGAAAGGCCAUUCAAAUUGGCAGAAUAUAAAAAGGAAAUAGGAAAGGCAUAUUCCAGGAUCACUUUUUUCAUUUGCCUAGAAAAACACUAUAAAAGAGUGGAUGAUACCUCAGACUCUGAUUCUGAAAUUGUCAUCACAACAAGGAGCACAGCUGAACUCAAUCGUGCUGACACUUUGGUACAUCAGUUAUUUCUCUUUUUUAA